AGAGAGAAGAUGAUUCUGUUGCAGUCGAGAAUUGGUUGAACAGAACAGGCAGAGUCCUAAAACAACUUCACUGCACCCCAGAGCAGAACUUAGAAGCUGCUAUAUCCUUGUUACAAGACGAUGCCUACGGAUGGUGGGACACUGUAUCCAGUGAAGUGCAGCCAGAAGCUAUAACUUGGGAUUUCUUUCUCUCCGAAUUUAAGAAGAAAUAUGUGGGUACUGUA
Molecule: unclassified non-coding RNA, 224 nt
Filed under: Hevea brasiliensis (rubber tree)
Lineage: Eukaryota; Viridiplantae; Streptophyta; Magnoliopsida; Malpighiales; Euphorbiaceae
Source: RNAcentral